RNAcentral lists this unclassified non-coding RNA (242 nucleotides) under uncultured fungus. RNAcentral describes it as "sequence contains ITS1, 5.8S rRNA gene". The stretch from base 194 to 242 matches the Rfam family "5.8S ribosomal RNA", at positions 1 to 49 of the family's 154-position model. Lineage: Eukaryota; Fungi. The record is from RNAcentral.
UCUCCGUAGGUGAACCUGCGGAGGGAUCAUUACAGAGUAUCAUGCCCUUCGGGGUAGAUCUCCCACCCUGUGUAUUAUAUACCUUUUGUUGCUUUGGCGGGCCGCCUCGGCCACCGGCUCCGGCUGGUGCGUGCCCGCCAGAGGACCCCAAACUCUUUUGUUUAGUGAUGUCUGAGUACUAUAUAAUAGUUAAAACUUUCAACAACGGAUCUCUUGGUUCUGGCAUCGAUGAAGAACGCAGC